UCACACAGAGAGAUAGCCCUUUCAUAAGUUCAUAAGUUGUAGGAGCAGAAUUAGGCCAUUCGGCCCAUCAAAUCUACUCCACCAUUCGAUCAUGAAUGAUCUAUCCAUCCUUCUCAGCCCCAUUCACCUGCCUUCUCCCCAUAACCCCUGAC
Molecule: long non-coding RNA, 152 nt
Organism: Amblyraja radiata (thorny skate)
Lineage: Eukaryota; Metazoa; Chordata; Chondrichthyes; Rajiformes; Rajidae
Exons: 3
Source: RefSeq, a predicted model, not a curated record